CAGAGUAGAGGCUGACGCGUUACAGUGUCCUGCGGACGGGGAGUUGCCGCGGGAACGAAGGAUGUUUUGUUCUGUCCGCGAUGUCUGCCUCGCAUCCCGCUGU
Molecule: non-coding RNA, 103 nt
Filed under: uncultured Ruminococcus sp.
Lineage: Bacteria; Bacillati; Bacillota; Clostridia; Eubacteriales; Oscillospiraceae
Description: THF riboswitch
Rfam family: THF (Tetrahydrofolate) riboswitch aptamer
About the family: THF riboswitch presents a pseudoknot that joins P1-P2 and the loop of P3 and two THF binding.
Source: RNAcentral